GUCAAACUUGAUCACGUGGUACAAUUUCGACGAAAACGCCAUCUGGAUAAAUUUUAGCGUCAAAAACUGAAAAAACUAAACAAUGUUUAGUUUUUGACGCUGGAGCUAUGGAACUAUGUGCGUUAAGCUAAAAACCUAUAAUCGAAGUUGGUAGUAAUCGAUAUAUAUCGAAAAAUAAUAAACAAGAGUAAUAAAAUAUUUUUUUUUAGAAUAAUUGAAAAAAUAUAUGAAAAAGGUAUCAUGGACUACGGGAAGCUGAUAAAAGAACAAUAAUCCGUCGAGCACAAUUUGAGAACGGCACCGAAAAAAUUAUUCGCGAAUUAUUGCCCGAACUAGAUGGCAAAGAUGAUGUCUCUCAGUUGUACAGUGGUCGUGCUAUCGGAGGUGAGAAAAAAGCAAGUGUUGAAGAAUUUGUAGACUAUCAUGUGUUAGACGAUGAAGAUGACAUGUUAAGCUUACCCUCACCGCAAAAAAGUCCUACACUCCAAUCUGCUUCGACAAAGGGUUGUAAGGGUGGAAAAAAAAAAGAAGCUAUAAUGUCUCAGAAACCACAAGAAUCUAAACUAACGGACGAUGAAAUCGAAUUUUUAAUUUUGGAAGUCCAAUCAAGGCCGCCCUUGUGGAACUAUGAAACACCUCUAGCAAACCGCUCGUCAAAAGCUACUGAUCUACUGUGGGAAGAAAUAUCAAAAGCUAUGAACUGUAUGUUGAAUUUUUUUUUCUCUAUCAAUUUUUAAUAAGUAUUUAUUAUUAUUUUUUUACCACUUCCAUAGCAUUUCACAUGUUUCAUUUAUAAUAUUAAUUGUUGUUGUGAAACCUACAAGAUAAUGAUAGGAUACUGAAGUCAUACAAUCACCUGUUGCCAAGUAUCUGCAGAGAAAAAAUUAAUAUAUACAGUUAUGCUAACUUCUUAUGAAUCAUGAUUUGAAUAAUGAGAUUAAUAUGAGAUGAAUAAGAUAAUUAUUACCUUAGGGUCAUUG
This is an RNA transcript of Cotesia glomerata, 980 nucleotides long. RefSeq lists it as uncharacterized. The transcript is spliced from 3 exons. The record is from RefSeq and is a predicted model, not a curated record. Lineage: Eukaryota; Metazoa; Arthropoda; Insecta; Hymenoptera; Braconidae.